This is a non-coding RNA of Acanthosepion pharaonis, 114 nucleotides long. Lineage: Eukaryota; Metazoa; Mollusca; Cephalopoda; Sepiida; Sepiidae. The record is from the annotation of a GenBank genome assembly.
UACAGUCAGAUCACGCUGAAAACACCCAUUCUUACUUGAUCACUGAAGUUAAGCAGCGUUGAGCCCAGUUAGUACUUAGCUGGUGGAUUGCUGGAGAACACUGGGUACUGUAAU